RNAcentral lists this ribosomal RNA (301 nucleotides) under uncultured bacterium. Its description in RNAcentral is "partial 16S ribosomal RNA". It matches the Rfam family "Bacterial small subunit ribosomal RNA", at positions 509 to 807 of the family's 1533-position model. The record is from RNAcentral.
CAGUCGCCGCGGGAAUACGGAGGGUGCAAGCGUUAAUCGGAAUUACUGGGCGUAAAGCGUGCGUAGGCGGUUCGUUAAGUCUGUUGUGAAAGCCCCGGGCUCAACCUGGGAAUGGCAAUGGAUACUGGCGAGCUAGAGUGUGUCAGAGGAUGGUGGAAUUCCCGGUGUAGCGGUGAAAUGCGUAGAGAUCGGGAGGAACAUCAGUGGCGAAGGCGGCCAUCUGGGACAACACUGACGCUGAGGCACGAAAGCGUGGGGAGCAAACAGGAUUAGAUACCCCUGUAGUCCCUGUCUCUUAUAC